RNAcentral lists this ribosomal RNA (484 nucleotides) under uncultured bacterium. Its description in RNAcentral is "partial 16S ribosomal RNA". It matches the Rfam family "Bacterial small subunit ribosomal RNA", at positions 29 to 507 of the family's 1533-position model. The record is from RNAcentral.
AUUGAACGCUGGCGGCAUGCUUUACACAUGCAAGUCGAACGGCAGCGCGGGCUUCGGCCUGGCGGCGAGUGGCGAACGGUUGAGUAAUGCAUCGGAACGUGCCCAGUCGUGGGGGAUAGCCCGGCGAAAGCCGGAUUAAUACCGCAUACGACCUGAGGGUGAAAGCGGGGGGCCGAAAGGCCUCGCGCUAUUGUAGUAGCCUAGGUCGGUUUAGCUAGUUGGUGGGGUAAAGGCUUACCAAGGCGACGAUCCGUAGCUGGUCUGAGAGGACGACCAGCCACACUGGGACUGAGACACGGCCCAGACUCCUACGGGAGGAAGCAGUGGGGAAUUUUGGACAAUGGGGGCAACCCUGAUACAGCCAUGCCGCGUGAGGGAAGAAGGACUUCGGAUUGUAAAGCGCUUUUGUUCGGGAAGAAAUCCUCUGGGCUAAUACCCCGGGGGGAUGACGGUACCGGAAGAAUAAGCACCGGCUAACUACGUG